This is a long non-coding RNA of Larimichthys crocea (large yellow croaker), 365 nucleotides long. RefSeq lists it as uncharacterized. The transcript has 3 exons. The record is from RefSeq and is a predicted model, not a curated record. NCBI's taxonomy places the organism in Eukaryota, Metazoa, Chordata, Actinopteri, Sciaenidae.
ACAGAUGCAGGUGCCACAGUGACAGUCCCCUCUGCCUGCACAAAUCUGUUUAUCCUGAGAAAGACAAGACUCCAAGCUGAGAGGGCACUCACAUGCCCGACCGCGGUAUGCUGCAAAGAUGAUCUGGAUGUUCUUCUGUCUCAAUGUUUCGGCGAUGUGACCCACCGAGGGAUAGUCCUGACGGAGCCGAUUCAGUUGCAGAUGCAAAAUGCAACGCAUAACACUCGGUCCUGCUCCCUGCUGGGCUUCCUUGCAUUACCUCACACACGGCGGCCUGCAUCAAGGCAUCCAGCCCCCCUUCUGGUAAAUCCAGGUUACCCGAGAUCCGCUGCCUCCCAACCAGCUCCGUGAAGAGGCUCCCGUUG